CGCAUCACUGGUGUUCGGGUUGUCAUGCCAAUGGCACUGCCCGGUAGCUAAAUGCGGAAGAGAUAAGUGCUGAAAGCAUCUAAGCACGAAACUUGCCCCGAGAUGAGUUCUCCCUGAGACUUUAAGUCUCCUGAAGGAACGUUGAAGACGACGACGUUGAUAGGCCGGGUGUGUAAGCGCAGCGAUGCGUUGAGCUAACCGGUACUAAUGAACCGUGAGGCUUAACCUUACAACGCCGAAG
Molecule: ribosomal RNA, 241 nt
Filed under: Klebsiella pneumoniae
Lineage: Bacteria; Pseudomonadati; Pseudomonadota; Gammaproteobacteria; Enterobacterales; Enterobacteriaceae
Description: partial 23S ribosomal RNA
Rfam family: Bacterial large subunit ribosomal RNA
Source: RNAcentral